RNAcentral lists this long non-coding RNA (244 nucleotides) under Lathyrus oleraceus (garden pea). RNAcentral describes it as "Pisum sativum (pea) long non-coding RNA (PSAT_LNC009818)". The record is from RNAcentral. Lineage: Eukaryota; Viridiplantae; Streptophyta; Magnoliopsida; Fabales; Fabaceae.
AUGCUCGUAACUUGCAACAAACCCUUGAUUCUUGGUUGAUCCAAUCAAGUCUUGUCAAUAUCAAUGGAACUUGAGUGUUGAUAAGGUGUAAACCAUAAUCCACCAAAAUGGAUGAUUGAUCUUGAUAAUGACUUGAUUCAUCCCUUGUGUGUGAUCCCUUAUUUGUUAUUGUUGCAUUCAUGCAUUCAUGCGCAUCAUAACAUUCAUCACACGAAAAUUUCAAGGAACUAAGGUAUCAUUUGCA